RNAcentral lists this ribosomal RNA (253 nucleotides) under uncultured bacterium. Its description in RNAcentral is "partial 16S ribosomal RNA". It matches the Rfam family "Bacterial small subunit ribosomal RNA", at positions 524 to 776 of the family's 1533-position model. The record is from RNAcentral.
UACGUAGGGUGCGAGCGUUAAUCGGAAUUACUGGGCGUAAAGCGUGCGCAGGCGGUUCGUUGUGUCUGAUGUGAAAGCCCCGGGCUCAACCUGGGAAUGGCAUUGGAAACUGGCGAGCUAGAGUGUGGCAGAGGGGGGUGGAAUUCCACGUGUAGCAGUGAAAUGCGUAGAGAUGUGGAGGAACACCGAUGGCGAAGGCAGCCCCCUGGGCCAACACUGACGCUCAGGCACGAAAGCGUGGGGAGCAAACAGG